AACCUAGCACACCUGCGGUGUGUACCUGCGGAGGGAUCAUUACCGAGUUUACAACUCCCAAACCCCUGUGAACAUACCUAUAUGUUGCCUCGGCGGAUCAGCCCGCGCCCCGUAAAACGGGACGGCCCGCCGCAGGAUCCACAAACUCUGUUUUUAUUGUAACUUCUGAGUAACAAAACAAAUAAAUCAAAACUUUUAACAAUGGAUCU
This 209-nucleotide unclassified non-coding RNA is filed under the name soil metagenome. RNAcentral describes it as "partial contains 5.8S ribosomal RNA, internal transcribed spacer 2, and large subunit ribosomal RNA". The record is from RNAcentral.